GUUGGUGGAGUGAUUUGUCUGGUUAAUUCCGAUAACGAACGAGAUCUUUACCUGCUUACUAGACACGUGAAUCUUUACCGUUAAGCCUUCAUUAAAGCGUUUUGGUCCCUUCCUUCGGGAUGUGGACCCCUUUAGUGUUGGUGGACUGAUUCACGGAUGAGCUUCUUAGAGGGACUAUCUGUGUUUAACAGAUGGAAGUUGAAGGCAAUAACAGGU
RNAcentral lists this ribosomal RNA (216 nucleotides) under uncultured eukaryote. RNAcentral's name for it is "partial small subunit ribosomal RNA". It matches the Rfam family "Eukaryotic small subunit ribosomal RNA", at positions 1297 to 1461 of the family's 1831-position model. The record is from RNAcentral.